RNAcentral lists this ribosomal RNA (1362 nucleotides) under Triticum aestivum (bread wheat). Its description in RNAcentral is "partial small subunit ribosomal RNA". The record is from RNAcentral. Lineage: Eukaryota; Viridiplantae; Streptophyta; Magnoliopsida; Poales; Poaceae.
AUGACGUCCGCCGCUGCGUCCGGCUCCACCGCCACUGGUUUUCUGCCGGCCUCCCUCGCGGCACUUCUCUCGAGGCCGCUGGAUGCCGCCUCCCUUCAGGCGCCGAUCGGGACACGGAGCGUCGGCUCCCUCUUCGCGCUCCCGCCGGCUGCUACUUCGCCCGGGCAGGCGCUUGUGGCCCACACCACCGCCGCCCCGUCAACCGCGGCUGUCGCGCCCUCGUACACUGCGCCGCUGAUGGCGGAGGACGUCGCGCUGGCAGGCUUCGCGGCGUCAACCGCGGCCAUCGCGCCCUCUGUCACCGCGCCGGCUGCCCCUCCGACUGUCUCCACGAGGCUCACAAAAGGCCGCCGCAAGCCGCUGUACGAGGCCCUGCUCAAGCUCAAAGAAGAGCUGAUGCUGCUGGGCUUCAUCUCCCUACUGCUCACCGUGUUCCAGGGCGCCAUGCAGAAGAUAUGCGUCCGGGAGAGCCUGAUGCACCACCUCCUGCCGUGCCCGCGCGCCGGCGCCGGUGCCACCAAGGUUGCGCGGCACUUUGCCGCUACCGUGUUCACUGGUGUGGUGGGCAGCACGAGGAGGCGCCUCCAGUUUUUUUUUUUGUUUUGCCGGACGGAAGUCACCGGCGGCAUGCAGCCGGGCAAAGUUCCAAUUCUUUCGAUCCAAGCUAUCCAUCAGUUACACAUAUUUAUCUUCGUCUUAGAAGCUACCCAUGUGGUUCUCAGUGCUGUUACAGUUAUUCUUGGAAUCACACAGAUUUGGUUCGUUCCAUCCAGACAAGAAAAUGGAAACACUGGGAGGACAAGAUCCAGCAAAGCAACGAUAAUGUUGCUACUUGUGGUCGGAAGUAAGCUGGAGCAUAUUAUCACGGAGCUAGCUAUCGAUGUUGCCCAGAAGCAUACUGCAAUAGAUGGGGAGCUAGUUGUAGCUCUUUCAGAUGAUUUGUUUUGGUUCCACCGGCCUAAACUAGUCCUUCUAUUGAUCCAUAUCAUCUUGUUCCAAAAUGCAUUUGAGAUUGCAUUUUUCUUCUGGCUGCUGGUAACACAUGGAUUUAAAUCAUGUAUUAUGGGAAAACCAGCAUAUGCUAUUACUCGUCUGGUGAUAAGUGUCAUCAGUCAACUCCUCUGUGGAUACAGCACACUACCUCUGUUUGCUCUCAUAUCUCAAAUGGGAAGCUCAUUCAAGAAAGCCAUGUUCGAUGAAAGUAUAUCCGAAGGCCUCACCAACUGGGCUCAAAAGGCUAGGAAGCGUAAUAGAAUGCCGGCAGAAAGUGUUGGUGACAAUUCACCCGUUGGUCAGGGAAUUCAAAUGACAAAUACAAGAAGAGAAUCAGCAAUCGAGCAAGGGACUGCUAGAUUGAUCUAA